RNAcentral lists this long non-coding RNA (1061 nucleotides) under Cicer arietinum (chickpea). Its description in RNAcentral is "long non-coding RNA (CARI_LNC000698)". The record is from RNAcentral. Lineage: Eukaryota; Viridiplantae; Streptophyta; Magnoliopsida; Fabales; Fabaceae.
CUCUAAGUCAUUUUUUCUUUUCUCUAGUGCACAAAAGUAAAUGAAAGAACUUUAUUUUGAAGGAAAUUUCCGUUUAACACGUUUGCAUCCAAUAUUUAUAGAUUGGGGGAGUGAAUCAAACCUAAAUCUUAGUGUGAUACACAUGCUUUAGAAUUUAUUUGAGCAAUCUUCAUCAUCAUCAAUUUCAUCAUCUUCUUGUUUGAAAUUUACAACAUACCUCCAACAAAAGAUCCAACACCAUAUGCAUUAUAAUGUUAAAACUAAUCACCCCAUGCAACAACAACAUAACGACUCAUACAAAAAUUGGGUUUUGGAUGAUUUGAUGGCGUUGAAAUCAGAAAUGUUAGGGAUAACGAGCUUUCUUCUGCAUUUGAAACAAGCAAGAGAUCUCAGGAAGCUUUGGAGGAUUGAAUUCGAGCUCGAAAAAGACCCUAUCAAGCAAGACAUGUAGUUCACCUGACAAUAUAAGUUACACGUCGAAACUGAUUGUAUCAUGGUAGAGAACAAAUUAAAUGGAAGAGUUAAUAAUUGCACUGAAUUCGGUGACAUACUUAAAAUUUGUCAAGAAAUCAACCAACAAAAUAACAACUUUGUGAUUAGAUGUAUUAGUAGACAAACUAAUGAGUGACUCAUAACACCUAAGUUGAUAGCAUAAAAUAAAAAAGAUGCAUACAUAUGUGACAAAAUAUACCAAUAUGAUAAAAUUAAAAUAUUCAGAAUACUCAUGUCUCUUAAGCUUUAACAUUGACGACGCGAAAUUUAUAGAUUAAAUAUGUAUUACAUCAAUGUUGACUUGUCAAUUUCAACAAAAAGAAGACCACAACAAGACAAAAAACUAAAUAACAUUGAACUAAGACAAUAAACUAAACAUUGUUGCCUUCAGACGAAAAAAUCAUGAACAAAACAUAAAAGAAAAUUAAAAUGUACGUAGAAAUGAAAAAAUAGAUUUAUAUGAGUGAUUUUGUGCCUAAAAGUAGCUCUAAACCACCUCAAUUAAGGACAAUUAAGGAGGAAGAAGAACAAGAGUGGAAGUGGGGCAACAUGUUUUUCAAGUGUUAAAU